RNAcentral lists this ribosomal RNA (490 nucleotides) under uncultured bacterium. RNAcentral's name for it is "partial 16S ribosomal RNA". It matches the Rfam family "Bacterial small subunit ribosomal RNA", at positions 30 to 507 of the family's 1533-position model. The record is from RNAcentral.
AUUGGACGCUGGCGGCAGGCCUAACACAUGCAAGUCGAACGGUAACAGGAAGCAGCUUGCUGCUUUGCUGACGAGUGGCGGACGGGUGAGUAAUGUCUGGGAAACUGCCUGAUGGAGGGGGAUAACUACUGGAAACGGUAGCUAAUACCGCAUAACGUCGCAAGACCAAAGAGGGGGACCUUAGGGCCUCUUGCCAUCGGAUGUGCCCAGAUGGGAUUAGCUAGUAGGUGGGGUAACGGCUCACCUAGGCGACGAUCCCUAGCUGGUCUGAGAGGAUGACCAGCCACACUGGAACUGAGACACGGUCCAGACUCCUACGGGAGGCAGCAGUGGGGAAUAUUGCACAAUGGGCGCAAGCCUGAUGCAGCCAUGCCGCGUGUAUGAAGAAGGCCUUCGGGUUGUAAAGUACUUUCAGCGGGGAGGAAGGGAGUAAAGUUAAUACCUUUGCUCAUUGACGUUACCCGCAGAAGAAGCACCGGCUAACUCCGUG